GUUGGCGGAUAUUGAUCAAGGAGAGAGUGACAAUGAAUCAACAGCAGUCCCCAAAAAACUGCAUCCAUCCUUUCCCUCGGCGCCAUCUUGUUCAAUCCUCCUGAGCCUGCAGCUUCCACCUUCUCCUCACCAAUCACCAGCUCGGGGGGGGGGGGGGGAGCGGCUGAUGUCCCUGAAGCAGCAUGAAGCCACAGGCUGAUCUGGUUACACUGUUGUAGAUCCAAAUGGUCUCCAGUAUCGAUCUAGGGACACAUCAAUUCUCCCACUUCCUACAUCCUCCUUGGAGAUCAGCCCCACGGCACCUCCGACCGAAGCCCCUAAAGCCCCUUCUGAUGACUCUGGCUUUCUUUCAUGUCGUAUCCUCGUGGGCCUUUAAAUACAGUUUUUAUUGCGCGUCGCCAUCGCGGUUCGAGUAAAGCCACUGUUGAUGUACAGGUAGUGAUGGGCCUUGACUCAUCUGUUGAGUAAAUGGUAGUAAUUAACAUUUGUGGUCUCCAACCAUGUUGUUGAUGCUGUUUGAUCCCAGCGACAGUGUAACAGAGAUGAACUACAUCUCUAGGCUGAAAUGUAUCCUUCCAACGGCCAGAAAUAGAAAGAUGUCCUCUGAACGUGGGCUCUAUUUGCAGUGUUUCGGAUAUAUGGAUCCGUGCUGACGGGGGCCUUGGGUAGGAUACGUGUAUUUUUCUCUGUGCGUAUAAUAUUUCCAGCCUUAUGGAGUGCAAGGUCACUAGUAGAACACAAUCUCAAUGAAGAUGACUUGCCGUCCAGCGGAAGUCGCCACAGUGAGCGACCCAAGAGCAACAAGACAGAAGGUUUACGAGGUUUUGUUUAUUGUGCCGAAACGUCUUUCCGAGCCUUCCUCACAGCGAAGGUGUAACUGAUCCCUGACGACAUAUUUGUUCUAGUGUGCCUGAAAUAACUGAAAUCACUGCAUCAUGAAUUAAACCUCUUGGAACGGCGGAGGCCUAUUGUCGCGUUGUACAAACUGCAGGUGCCAGAAGAAAUGAAAAUCAUGGAAGUUUAUUAUCUUUUAUUCUUAGGCUCCUUUUUGCUUCGUAGUGUAGACAGGAAGGUAAAACAGAAGGUGUUCUUCAAUAUUUGUCGGUAUUGAAAAUGACCUGUACCCGUGUAAGCCGUAGACCGCGCAUAAGAAGUGGACGUAGUCGCUGUGACGUCACUCAUUGGUUUGGGGACUGCCGUUAUGAAACCCUUAUUUAGGCAAUUCUGCCACCGCUACAUUUACUCUUUUUUUUCAACAGAUGAAAGGAAGUGAACGGACCGUAUUUGGAGAGAAGAAGAAUAACGUAGUGAUACUGUAGAAAGCAUACUUUGCUUAAUGCUUAUAGAGAAGUCGCCUCCUUCUGGUCAGUAGCGAGAAUGCAGGUUGGCCCUGCAGAACCAGAAGUUGCCCCUUGUUGCUGAUAGGACCUAAUUGCGGUAUUCCUGUUGGUUUAAGAUAGAUAUUCCUUUGGUAAGGCUAACCGUACCAUCGGAGUUUCAUAGUAGUUACAGUUUAAAAGUGCAACAUUUAUAACAUUUAGAUUUUACACAUGUUGUAUUACUCCCACCAACCAUAUAGUUCAUUGCACAAUGCAAAUACUACAUGGUCGAGUGGAGUGGGACUGAAAAGUUCCUUUUCAAUCUGGGUAUAGGUCUCCAUCAGCUAUAGCUUUAGGUUACUAUGCAGUGGUGUAUCAAUAUUCAUUUAAUGUAGGAUCUUAUCAGCUUGUCAUCAAAUAAGUGCUUUUUAUACAUUAUUCAAAGACACAUGAGUAUUACUAAAUGAGUAUUUAAUGACUAAAUAAUCAUUUAGUUCCUAAGUGAGAGAGUUUUCGUCAUUUUGUGUGUUAUUGUUAUUCUGGAAAUUAAGCUAAAAUCUAGAUCUAGAAGAAAAGAUCAUGUGUACUAGCUGCAGAGUAAUCUUUUCAAUGGACUUAAAUACAGUUUUUCUGAUUGUGCUAAAGAUUCCUCGGAUGAUUUUUGGAGAUUCUGCUCUGCAUUGGAUUUGAAAUGAAAUACAGACUGAGGUUAAAGUAAUGACUUUCAGCCAUAUGGGUCUUUCAAAGUAUUCAAAUCCACGGGGAAUGAACAAUGUGGGAAGCAAGCUAUACAUAUUUCCUCUAAAUUUGGAUUACAGCUCAUAUAAAGUUUGUCCCACUUAGUGCAAACAGCCCUGAGUUCAAGUUGAAAGUCUGCCACAGAGACUGAAAGUUGAAGAUUUAUUGCCUUUUUUUCAACCUGGCAAUCUCUGGUGAUAGAAGGAUGGAUGAAGAUUUGUUUUUUUUUUGGCUAUUCAUCUGAAGAGAAUGAGUGACUUAUGGGUGGUUGUUUGCCUACUGAAUAUAACACCCAGGUCACCGCCACGUUGUGGAAAACGGGCUUGCGAUGGAAGGGCAGUGGGUGAAGAAUUGAAACUGGUGGAACACAUUUCUCCUCUUAAAAGUGCAGUUGUUGCUGGAUAUAAAACGCAGAUGUUGCACUGUUUGGACACAGAUAAGUCCAGUCCAGACAAGAAACUUCAGUGCGACCGUGGUGUGAUCUUACAACUGCACACGUAUUUCUUAUCUUGGUGCUUUCGGGGUGACAGAUUGGGGCCGAUGUAACAGUCAGAGCUGCACGGAGAGGCGUGUACAGUCCAGAGGGUGGAUGCCAUGUGUUUUUAACAAUCUGCCAAGAAAAGGAUAGAACAGCACCUGUGGCUGGUUACACAUCUAAAAACAUGAGUUAUGGUUCCCGCUCCAAACUAUAGGCGGAGAUGCAUUCACCCUUCACCAACAUUAAAACCACAAAAAGUACUCGCUGAGAUCUGGCCGUGAGCCAAAGCUGCAGAGGAAUGCACACUUCUCUCCUGGCAGGCAGUCUUUACGCUGUCACAUUCAUGCCCUGGUUUUGUUAUUUUUCUCCUUGGUUAACUUCAACUCUGGAAGAUUUCCCACGUCAAGAAUGUUCGGCUCAGAUGCCAGAGGUUCAAAGAGAAGAAUAAAAAUGGAUAUUUAAGCUAAUGAUCCCAUCAGUCAUUUAACUGUCCUUGUUAUGUGAAUUAUUACCAUAACCAGCAAGCUUUUUCUUCCAGAGAGCACGCACAUUUAUGUAAAACAGAUGAAUGAGUGAAUCCCAACCAAACCUUUUCACAACCAACAUUCCUGGUUCAUGUUUUACCCACGGAACAGUUCAAGCUGUGAUCAACGGCUUGGAUUUGGAAUUUCCUGCUGACAUUUAUUUAGUCUGUCAGUACAUUUUAAGUCAGUUUGUGUGGAUGGUGGGUGAAGUCACCUAAACAACCAAUUAUUCAUGUUGGGGAUAUGGAGUAAUAACGUCGCCGACCUCUUCACCUUUAAACUUUAAACUACCGCCAUCGGUUCUGAAUUACAAUCUGUCCAAUGGUUUGGUUUGUGAACAAAUACUUAACUGACAUCCCUGUCAGCCGCACCACUCUGUGUUUAUGGCUAAUUAUCCCAUGAAAACAUUGUUGAACUGAGUUUAAAAGUAAGUGAACGUGGUAAACAUUACACCUGUUAAACAUCAGCAAGUCAGCGCUAUCAUCGCAAGCAUGUUUGCAUGCUGACGUUAGCAUUCUGCUCCAAGCCCCACAGGUCCUAACCAGCUCCAGACUCACUGUAUCAUCUGCAUGCAUCAUGGCCGGAGACACGCACUCAGUAACAACCACCAAGCCCCUCCUGCCCGUGGCAUAUGUGUUUAUUAUUAGGACCACGGUGCAUUUUCCAGUUUGAUGCAGGAAAAAUGAUGGGCAGGCUUGUUAGUAAUCUGUUCAAUAUAUUCAUGUGUUUCCUGUUGAAUGACAGUUAUCCUUCCGAACAGAACAAUCAUUUGAAAAUGCAUCAUAAAUACAGCGUGACUGCACAGUAGUACAAAUACUGUGGGAAAGAGGAAAUGAGUGUCUGUCCACCAUAUGGACUUAAAUAAGUAAACUAACGAUUCAUUUUUGGUCGGCUAUGAAUGUGACUUCCCUCUUCCUAGAAAAGCUACCCAGGCCUUCAUGCACCCAAUUGUGCACUAUUACGAGCUGACGUUUGAAUUGCAGGUCCUGCAUGAGCAGCUCUAACCGAAUACUGCUCAUGACCCCGACGCACAUGUGCGGGUUGACCGUAUCUUUACAACCUGCACCCCCGGAGGCUCGUGUUCCGCGCUCCCUCCUCGUACCGGACAGCCAGAGAGCUGCAGCGAAGCAUCCGAGGCCCGUCUCAGUGUCCCGUUGCUGACCCAACACUCGCAGGCACUAAACCCCGGCACCCGGGCCCCCCCUUCGUAAACGUACAGGACCAGACGGAGACGUACAGCCGGUGGUCAGAGCGUGCUUCGCCCUCAGAUCCCCUGCUGUCAUGGUGUACGUAGCACCGUGCUGUAAAACGCGUGACCCCCCCUCGAUGACCCCGACGUGGCUGUGGCCCAGAAGCUGAAAGGUUCAGCGGAUAAGAGCAACAAAGACAGGUUGUAUUUGCACAGGUGAUGUUGUAUACAGGUCAUUUUUACUGACACACUUGCUGCAAAAGGAUAUAAUUUCUCAACUCAUUUCAUCUAAUAUAUAUGUAUAUAUUUGAAAUGCAUAUCUUAGUCCAAGUGGUAAAUUUCUCUCAGAUGAGUGUGAUCAGUCAGAUGUUUCUACUGCAGGAUUAGGAUUUUAGAAACUAGUGUGUGUAUCAGAAAAACAAGACUUUUUUUAAUACAUCUUUUCAAGCACACCCCUACAAAGCCGUGCCCAUCCCAUUGAGUCAUUUCUAGUUGGGUAUGAGGGGAUCACUUUUGCAAAAAGCCUUUUUCAGAAUUACCCAUACAACCAAUAAUGUGUACUGGCUCCUCAGAAUAAUCACAGACCUCAGUGUGAACAGCUGGAACUAAAACUAAUCUAUCUAAAGAAAUUGUCUUCAUGUUGAAAGUGAGGUCUGUGGAUUAUCUGAGAUGUAUUUGUUCGGAAAAGAAAAGCUCCUGUUGAGUUUUUCCAAUCUCAUUUUCUAAUGCUUGAAGCGGCACAUAAAAAAAAUCCAAUUUCCUUUUUUCUCACUUUAUUGACGCAGCAGCAGGAAGAUGUACAUCUCUCAAAACUUGGGAAGACAGCCUUUAUCUCGUUUUUCUGAUCAGAUAAAGGCUUCAGGUGAUUGAAUCAGGAGGUGUCAGGGCACCAUGGAUAUUGCUCCAUUGCUCUGCUGCUCUGAAGCUGGACUGAGGAUAGUUUCUGAUGUUACAUCAAGCCAAUUACCAUCAACAUUUACAUAAAGAUUUGACUCAUUAAAACGCUCAUGAGGGUGGACUAAACGUUUUACUUUCUUUCUUACUUUUAUUUACAUUUUACCUCGCUUUAGAUUUUCUACACAUGAAAAAACAGCCUAAUUAGUUGAGCAAAAGGAGAUAAUUGUACAAGCUGUGGUGCAAAAUUGAUUUAGUGAACUAUGCAUUGUUGUCUUUUAAAUGUGUUGCAUAUGUAUCCUGUGUCUUAUCACCUGUUGUUGCCACAAUCAUUUUGUUAAAUCUAAAAAAUCAAGAUAAGAUUAUGGUUAAAAGAUAUGGUUGUAAAGAGUUUCAUUUUUGCCAGUAAGUAAUGACAUGGUUCCUUGAUCCCUGAGCUACUUCUCUCCCUGCUGUGAAGCGACGCCUCAGAUGAGCCUCAGCGAUCAAGAGAAGUAGUUUUUAUCUGCUUUCUUACCGACAUUUCUCUCCGUCCUCUUCAGCUAACCACUAUAAUCAACCAAAUGGAUGAGCUGCUUCACUCACUUGGUAACAUCGAUGGAAUAUUGAUGCCGUGGUGUGAUUUUCAAACCAUUUCCUGUUCCUCGAGUGCAUUGAGCACCUCGGCGGAUAAAUGUGCCGUUUUCUCAUCGUUGAUCAGACGAGCCGCUGUUAUGAUGCACAAUUUGCGAUUCAAAUGUAUUCAAAUUUGAGAAUGCAAUUAUAUUUCUGCUGCUUGUUCAAAUACAAUAUAUACAGCGUCUGCAUAAUACCCCGCAGAAGGAGACAUUUACAUUUCGGUUGCGUUGGACAUUUUUUAGCCUUUUAUUCGGUCUGUAUUAUCGCUCCCACGCUGUUUGAGGAGAGUUUAUUAAUUGUUGUCCUCACCCCGGAGUUGAUUAUUAUGUGUAAAGUUAGAAAGUACAUUUGUGUAUCGUGUUUCUUGUGUAUUGUGCUAUUUUUUUUACCCCCCGUAGUGAUCCGAGGCCAUAACCAUGGUUGGGUUGGUCAUGUUCACUCAUCCAGCUUACAUGUCCUGUAAAUCCUAAACCCAGGCACAAAACAAUGCGUGUGCACGUGAAUGUUUGAGUAAUAAAAUGUACUCGGCUCCACACGACAAAUCCGGAUUUUCAGUCCUGUUUUUCGCAUUAUCUAGUUUUCCAGCAGACGCCAUCACAGGCGGCUCUUUACACAACAUGCAACUCAAUAACCUCACUAAAGCCCUUCAUGCGGCUUCUCCGCUCAGCCGUACGUUUACUUCCUCGGGGGAAAAGG
Long non-coding RNA from Gasterosteus aculeatus aculeatus (three-spined stickleback), 6456 nucleotides. Lineage: Eukaryota; Metazoa; Chordata; Actinopteri; Perciformes; Gasterosteidae. The record is from Ensembl.